RNAcentral lists this unclassified non-coding RNA (311 nucleotides) under uncultured fungus. RNAcentral describes it as "partial contains 5.8S ribosomal RNA and internal transcribed spacer 2". The stretch from base 1 to 133 matches the Rfam family "5.8S ribosomal RNA", at positions 22 to 154 of the family's 154-position model. Lineage: Eukaryota; Fungi. The record is from RNAcentral.
UGGUUCUGGCAUCGAUGAAGAACGCAGCGAAAUGCGAUAAGUAAUGUGAAUUGCAGAAUUCCGUGAAUCAUCGAAUCUUUGAACGCACAUUGCACCCUCUGGUAUUCCGGGGGGUAUGCCUGUUCGAGCGUCAUUACAACCCUCAAGCUCUGCUUGGUAUUGGAUGUAAAUUGAUAUAAUUCAUCUCAAAAUUAGUGGUAGUGCCGUCUGGUUUCCAGCGUAGUAAUUCUCUCGCUGUGGGUGUCCAGGCUGGUGUCUCCAGCAAAUAUUAUUACUAGGUUGACCUCGGAUCAGGUAGGGAUACCCGCUGA